GCAUAUUGUCUACGGGUUCGCCCACACUGCCCUCACACACUUGGCACUGCCAUGCAGACAACACGUCACACGCAUUGCGCUUGACUGACAAACGGCGACAAGUGUGCUUAAUACGGUAGAACAUGUGAAUGGGUGUGUGGGAAUGUAAGGUCUGUGGAAAAUCAGAAAAAAAUCCAUAAAGUGAAAGAUGUCAAAUCCAGUCCACCUGAGAGUCGUCCUCGGCGGAGAUGACGCUAGAAAUCUUAGCCUGAUGUCAGGGAUACCAGCAUCUGUGGAUCAACUUGUCCAUGAGAUAAAGACUGCUUUCGUCAGUGAGAAUUCAUGCGUAUAACAAAUUUGCCACUUCAAGCCAAGUUUUUGGGAGAAGUAGACAAAUACACACCUAACUUGAUGAAGGUCUUCAGCAGUAGAGGAGGAGCUGCUGGAAAGAAGAUCAGGCUUCUCAUGGCUCCGACA
Long non-coding RNA from Solea solea (common sole), 456 nucleotides. RefSeq lists it as uncharacterized. NCBI's taxonomy places the organism in Eukaryota, Metazoa, Chordata, Actinopteri, Pleuronectiformes, Soleidae. The record is from RefSeq and is a predicted model, not a curated record. The transcript is spliced from 4 exons.